AUUUUAGAGAGUUUGAUCCUGGCUCAGGACGAACGCUGGCGGCGUGCCUAACACAUGCAAGUCGAACGGAACUGUUUUGAAAGAUU
RNAcentral lists this ribosomal RNA (86 nucleotides) under Ruminococcus bromii. RNAcentral describes it as "partial 16S ribosomal RNA". It matches the Rfam family "Bacterial small subunit ribosomal RNA", at positions 1 to 86 of the family's 1533-position model. Lineage: Bacteria; Bacillati; Bacillota; Clostridia; Eubacteriales; Oscillospiraceae. The record is from RNAcentral.